GACGAACGCUGGCGGCGUGCCUAAUACAUGCAAGUUGAGCGCUGAAGGUUGGUACUUGUACCCACUGGAUGAGCAGCGAACGGGUGAGUAACGCGUGGGGAAUCUGCCUUUGAGCGGGGGACAACAUUUGGAAACGAAUGCUAAUACCGCAUAAAAACUUUAAACACAAGUUUUAAGUUUGAAAGAUGCAAUUGCAUCACUCAAAGAUGAUCCCGCGUUGUAUUAGCUAGUUGGUGAGGUAAAGGCUCACCAAGGCGAUGAUACAUAGCCGACCUGAGAGGGUGAUCGGCCACAUUGGGACUGAGACACGGCCCAAACUCCUACGGGAGGCAGCAGUAGGGAAUCUUCGGCAAUGGACGAAAGUCUGACCGAGCAACGCCGCGGGAGUGAAGAAGGGUUUCGGAUCGUAAAACUCUGUUGGUAGAGAAGAACGUUGGUGAGAGUGGAAAGCUCAUCAAGUGACGGUAACUACCCAGAAAGGGACGGCUAACUACGUG
Molecule: ribosomal RNA, 497 nt
Filed under: uncultured bacterium
Lineage: Bacteria
Description: partial 16S ribosomal RNA
Rfam family: Bacterial small subunit ribosomal RNA
Source: RNAcentral